This 254-nucleotide ribosomal RNA is filed under the name uncultured bacterium. RNAcentral's name for it is "partial 16S ribosomal RNA". It matches the Rfam family "Bacterial small subunit ribosomal RNA", at positions 524 to 776 of the family's 1533-position model. The record is from RNAcentral.
UACGAAGGGGGCUAGCGUUGUUCGGAAUUACUGGGCGUAAAGCGUAUGCAGGCGGAUCGUUAAGUCGGGGGUGAAAUCCCGAGGCUCAACCUCGGAACUGCCUUCGAUACUGGCGACCUUCGAGUCCGGGAGAGGUGAGUGGAACUCCGAGUGUAGAGGUGAAAUUCGUAGAUAUCGGGAGGAACACCAGUGGCGAAGGCGGCGACCUGGGCAGAUACUGACGCUGAGGUGCGAAAGCGUGGGGAGCAAACAGG